GUGGGGAAUCUUGCACAAUGGGCGAAAGCCUGAUGCAGCCAUGCCGCGUGAAUGAUGAAGGCCUUAGGGUUGUAAAAUUCUUUCGUCAGGGAUGAUAAUGACCGUACCUGAAGAAGAAGCCCCGGCUAACUUCGUGCCAGCAGCCGCGGUAAUACGAAGGGGGCGAGCGUUAUUCGGAAUCACUGGGCGUAAAGCGUGCGUAGGCUGUUUUGUAAGUCAGAAGUGAAAGCCCAGGGCUUAACCCUGGAAUUGCUUUUGAAACUACAAGACUCGAAUUCGGGAGAGGAUAGCGGAAUUGUCAGUGUAGCAGUGAAAUGCGUAGAUAUUGACAGGAACACCAGUGGCGCAAGCGGCUAUCUGGACCGAUAUUGACGCUGAGGCACGAAAGCGUGGGGAGCAAACAGGAUUAGAAACCCGGGUAGUCC
RNAcentral lists this ribosomal RNA (425 nucleotides) under uncultured bacterium. RNAcentral's name for it is "partial 16S ribosomal RNA". It matches the Rfam family "Bacterial small subunit ribosomal RNA", at positions 354 to 796 of the family's 1533-position model. The record is from RNAcentral.